RNAcentral lists this ribosomal RNA (255 nucleotides) under uncultured bacterium. Its description in RNAcentral is "partial 16S ribosomal RNA". It matches the Rfam family "Bacterial small subunit ribosomal RNA", at positions 524 to 776 of the family's 1533-position model. The record is from RNAcentral.
UACGUAGGGUGCAAGCGUUAAUCGGAAUUACUGGGCGUAAAGCGUGCGCAGGCGGUGAUGUAAGACAGAUGUGAAAUCCCCGGGCUCAACCUGGGACCUGCAUUUGUGACUGCAUCGCUAGAGUACGGUAGAGGGGGGAUGGAAUUCCGCGUGUAGCAGUGAAAUGCGUAGAUAUCGGGAGGAACACCUGUGGCGAAGGCGGCCCCCCUGGUUGGAUACUGACGCUGAUACGCGAAAGCGUGGGGAGCAAACAGG